Molecule: small nuclear RNA, 315 nt
Filed under: Castor canadensis (American beaver)
Lineage: Eukaryota; Metazoa; Chordata; Mammalia; Rodentia; Castoridae
Description: 7SK RNA (ENSCCNG00000000843.1)
Rfam family: 7SK RNA
About the family: 7SK was discovered as an abundant small nuclear RNA in the mid-70s but a possible function has only recently been suggested. Two independent studies have found that 7SK RNA binds the CDK9/cyclin T complex (known as elongation factor P-TEFb).
Source: Rfam by way of RNAcentral
GGAUGUGAGGGCGACAUGGCUGCGACAUCUGUCACCCCAUUGAUCGCCAGGGUUGAUUCGGCUGAUCUGGCUGGCUAGGCGGGUGUCCCCUUCCUCCCUCACCACUCCAUGUUCGUCCCUCCCGAAGCUGCGGCGCUCGGUCCCGAAGAGGACGACCAUUGCCCGAUAGAGGAGGACCGUUCUUUCAGUUCCAAGGGUAUACGAGUAAAGCUGCGCCUUCCACUGCUAGAGACCUCCAAAACAGCCUCAAGGAGCGGGGAAGCUUGUGAGAGGAGGGAAGACCCCCUUUUCCCACAUGAACGUAAAAACAAACAU